RNAcentral lists this ribosomal RNA (909 nucleotides) under Triticum aestivum (bread wheat). RNAcentral's name for it is "partial small subunit ribosomal RNA". Lineage: Eukaryota; Viridiplantae; Streptophyta; Magnoliopsida; Poales; Poaceae. The record is from RNAcentral.
GUCUCGUACUUGAGCAUCUUGCUCGGCACUACAACACUCAAGGACACUGCCACUUCCUCAUCCUCCCCACAGGCUGUAGCUGAGACGCCGCCACCGAAGCCAACCAUUUAUGUCAACGACCCUCCUGAUUGGUACUUCAGUAUUUACAUCAGGAUCGAUCGUUCAGGAUUUUUCCAUACAUAUCCUCAUCUCGGUGGACCAUUCAAGAGCUUAAAGGAAGUUGAAAAGGCUAUUGAGAGCUAUCUUCAUGACAAGCGGCAUAAAACGCUGUGGAACGAGCAAGCUGGGGAUGAAAUCAUUAUAAGAAAGGCUCUUUACUGGCCUGAUGGCAGAACAAGGAAAUGUUCAGACGAGCACGUAGUGGAGUUUACCCGUGAGCAAAUGAGUUUAGUGCUUCAAGCUUUACUGGACAAGUAUAAUGAGGAUCGCAAUCUUGUUGGGGAUCUUGCGUAUGAAUUCAAGGAUUUUUUGCACUAUCAAACAAUUUGUGAAGACUAUAAGUGGUACAAGCAUUUCAAUUUCACGACAAAGACUAAAGAUUGAAUUGAGGAUCUUUUCUUUGCUGAAGUGACAAAGGGAGCAGAUGAUGCAUUAGUGGCCAACUGUUUCUGCAAGAUUGAAUCCAAUGAAAAUGGCCACUGCUAUGGUUGCAUAAAUCAUGGAAUUACUGAUAUGAAGCACCCCAACAAGGCUGAUGCAUACUCCGGUGGUCACUUGAACGUAUAUUUGCCAUUUGGUGGGUGUAGAAGACGUCCUAACACGUGGACAGGCUCUAAGGAAGAUGUACAAACUAAAAUUUUGAUCAUAUUAAAACUGGUUGUCACUUGGAUGUCAGUCUUAUUAUCUUUCUAUUUAUUACAGGUGGCAGCUGAGGAAGCUAGGCUGAGAUACAUCUACGGUAUACGAUGA